UGAGGAAUAUUGCGCAAUGGGCGAAAGCCUGACGCAGCGACGCCGCGUGGACGAUGAAGGUCUUCGGAUCGUAAAGUCCUUUUCUGCGUGACGAGGAAGGACGGUAGCGCAGGAAUAAGUGUCGGCUAACUACGUGCCAGCAGCCGCGGUAACACGUAGGACGCAAGCGUUAUCCGGAAUUACUGGGCGUAAAGGGCGUGUAGGCGGCACGGUAAGUCAACCGUGAAAGCUCCCGGCUAAACUGGGAGAGGUCGGAUGAGACUGCCGAGCUAGAGGGUCGUAGAGGGGUGUGGAAUUCCGGGUGUAGUGGUGAAAUGCGUAGAGAUCCGGAGGAACACCAGAGGCGAAGGCGGCACCCUGGACGACACCAGACGCUGAGACGCGACAGCACGGGGAGCGAACGGGAUUAGAAACCCCGGUAGUCCGUGCCGUAAACGAUGUGCACUAGAUGUUCGGUCCUCUACGGGGGAGUGAGCGUCGCAGCCAACGCGGUAAGUGCACCGCCUGGGGAGUACGGUCGCAAGGCUAAAACUCAAAGGAAUUGACGGGGCCCCGCACAAGCAGCGGAGCGUGUGGUUUAAUUCGAGGCUACGCGAAGAACCUUACCUAGGUUUGACAUCCCCUGACCGCGUAUGAAAGUACGAAUCCGAAAGGCAGGGAGACAGGUGCUGCAUGGCUGUCGUCAGCUCGUGUCGUGAGAUGUUCGGUUAAGUCCGAAAACGAGCGCAACCCCCGGGUCUAGUUACAAGUGUCUAGACCGACUGCCUGCGACAAGUGGGAGGAAGGUGGGGAUGACGUCAAGUCAGCAUGGCCUUUACAUCUAGGGCUACACACACGCUACAAUGGCGCGCACAAUGGGAAGCAAGACCGCGAGGUGGAGCAAAUCCUGAAAGCGCGUCGUAGUUCGGAUUGCAGGCUGCAACUCGCCUGCAUGAAGCUGGAGUUGCUAGUAAACGCAGGUCAGCACACUGCGUUGAAUACGUUCUCGGGGCUUGUACACACCGCCCGUCACGUCAUGGGAGCUGGUCACGCCUGAAGUCGGGAAGGUAACCGAAAGGAGCCUACUGCCGAAGGCAGGGCUGGUGACUGGGACGAAGUCGUAACAAGGUAGCUGUACCGGAAGG
Molecule: ribosomal RNA, 1124 nt
Filed under: uncultured Chloroflexota bacterium
Lineage: Bacteria; Bacillati; Chloroflexota
Description: bacterial SSU rRNA
Rfam family: Bacterial small subunit ribosomal RNA
Source: RNAcentral